AGCGAACGCUGGCGGCAGGCCUAACACAUGCAAGUCGAACGAACCUUUCGGGGUUAGUGGCGGACGGGUGAGUAACACGUGGGAACGUGCCUUUAGGUUCGGAAUACCUCAGGGAAACUUGUGCUAAUACCGAAUGUGCCCUUCGGGGGAAAGAUUAAUCGCCUUUAGAGCGGCCCGCGUCUGAUUAGCUAGUUGGUUGAGGUAAUGGCUCACCAAGGCGACGAUCAGUAGCUGGUCUGAGAGGAUGAUCAGCCACAUUGGGACUGAGACACGGCCCAAACUCCGACGGGAGGCAGCAGUGGGGAAUCUUGCGCAAUGGGCGAAAGCCUGACGCAGCCAUGCCGCGUGAAUGAUGAAGGUCUUAGGAUUGUAAAAUUCUUUCACCGGGGACGAUAAUGACGGUACCCGGAGAAGAAGCCCCGGCUAACUUCGUG
Molecule: ribosomal RNA, 434 nt
Filed under: uncultured bacterium
Lineage: Bacteria
Description: partial 16S ribosomal RNA
Rfam family: Bacterial small subunit ribosomal RNA
Source: RNAcentral